CGCCCCCCCCCGCUGCCGGAGCCCCGCCCACCGUGGGUGUCGGGAUCCCUGCGCCCCCCCCCGAAGGCAGCGCCUGCAGCAAUGGGGGACCCUGCAAGGGUCACGGCAGCGCCUCCCCAGGGCCCCAUUGUGACAGCCUGAGCCCGGACCGGGCACUGGGACCGGGAGCACCGACGGCACCGACGGCACUGGGAGCACUGGGAGCACCGGGAAUGGCACCGGGAGCACUGGGAGAGGCACUGGGAGCACUGGGAGA
This is a long non-coding RNA of Melopsittacus undulatus (budgerigar), 256 nucleotides long. RefSeq lists it as uncharacterized. The record is from RefSeq and is a predicted model, not a curated record. NCBI's taxonomy places the organism in Eukaryota, Metazoa, Chordata, Aves, Psittaciformes, Psittaculidae. The transcript is spliced from 3 exons.